This 886-nucleotide ribosomal RNA is filed under the name uncultured Streptococcus sp. RNAcentral describes it as "bacterial SSU rRNA". It matches the Rfam family "Bacterial small subunit ribosomal RNA", at positions 48 to 916 of the family's 1533-position model. Lineage: Bacteria; Bacillati; Bacillota; Bacilli; Lactobacillales; Streptococcaceae. The record is from RNAcentral.
CUAAUACAUGCAAGUAGAACGCUGAAGAGAGGAGCUUGCUCUUCUUGGAUGAGUUGCGAACGGGUGAGUAACGCGUAGGUAACCUGCCUUGUAGCGGGGGAUAACUAUUGGAAACGAUAGCUAAUACCGCAUAACAACGGAUGACACAUGUCAUUUAUUUGAAAGGGGCAAUUGCUCCACUACAAGAUGGACCUGCGUUGUAUUAGCUAGUAGGUGAGGUAAUGGCUCACCUAGGCGACGAUACAUAGCCGACCUGAGAGGGUGAUCGGCCACACUGGGACUGAGACACGGCCCAGACUCCUACGGGAGGCAGCAGUAGGGAAUCUUCGGCAAUGGGGGCAACCCUGACCGAGCAACGCCGCGUGAGUGAAGAAGGUUUUCGGAUCGUAAAGCUCUGUUGUAAGUCAAGAACGGGUGUGAGAGUGGAAAGUUCACACUGUGACGGUAGCUUACCAGAAAGGGACGGCUGACUACGUGCCAGCAGCCGCGGUAAUACGUAGGUCCCGAGCGUUGUCCGGAUUUAUUGGGCGUAAAGCGAGCGCAGGCGGUUUGAUAAGUCUGAAGUUAAAGGCUGUGGCUCAACCAUAGUUCGCUUUGGAAACUGUCAAACUUGAGUGCAGAAGGGGAGAGUGGAAUUCCAUGUGUAGCGGUGAAAUGCGUAGAUAUAUGGAGGAACACCGGUGGCGAAAGCGGCUCUCUGGUCUGUAACUGACGCUGAGGCUCGAAAGCGUGGGGAGCGAACAGGAUUAGAUACCCUGGUAGUCCACGCCGUAAACGAUGAGUGCUAGGUGUUGGAUCCUUUCCGGGAUUCAGUGCCGUAGCUAACGCAUUAAGCACUCCGCCUGGGGAGUACGACCGCAAGGUUGAAACUCAAAUGAAUUGACGG